RNAcentral lists this ribosomal RNA (635 nucleotides) under Aliarcobacter butzleri. RNAcentral's name for it is "bacterial SSU rRNA". It matches the Rfam family "Bacterial small subunit ribosomal RNA", at positions 616 to 1248 of the family's 1533-position model. Lineage: Bacteria; Pseudomonadati; Campylobacterota; Epsilonproteobacteria; Campylobacterales; Arcobacteraceae. The record is from RNAcentral.
UAGAACUGCUUUGAAAACUGUUAAUCUAGAAUGUGGGAGAGGUAGAUGGAAUUUCUGGUGUAGGGGUAAAAUCCGUAGAGAUCAGAAGGAAUACCGAUUGCGAAGGCGAUCUACUGGAACAAUAUUGACGCUGAGACGCGAAAGCGUGGGGAGCAAACAGGAUUAGAUACCCUGGUAGUCCACGCCCUAAACGAUGUACACUAGUUGUUGUGAGGCUCGACCUUGCAGUAAUGCAGUUAACACAUUAAGUGUACCGCCUGGGGAGUACGGUCGCAAGAUUAAAACUCAAAGGAAUAGACGGGGACCCGCACAAGCGGUGGAGCAUGUGGUUUAAUUCGACGAUACACGAAGAACCUUACCUGGACUUGACAUAGUAAGAAUGAUUUAGAGAUAGAUUAGUGUCUGCUUGCAGAAACUUGCAUACAGGUGCUGCACGGCUGUCGUCAGCUCGUGUCGUGAGAUGUUGGGUUAAGUCCCGCAACGAGCGCAACCCUCGUCCUUAGUUGCUAACAGUUCGGCUGAGAACUCUAAGGAGACUGCCUACGCAAGUAGGAGGAAGGUGAGGAUGACGUCAAGUCAUCAUGGCCCUUACGUCCAGGGCUACACACGUGCUACAAUGGGGUAUACAAAGAGCA